Molecule: ribosomal RNA, 465 nt
Filed under: uncultured bacterium
Lineage: Bacteria
Description: partial 16S ribosomal RNA
Rfam family: Bacterial small subunit ribosomal RNA
Source: RNAcentral
GACGAACGCUGGCGGCGUGCUUAACACAUGCAAGUCGAACGGAAAGGCCCUGCUUGCAGGGUACUCGAGUGUCGAACGGGUGUGUAACACGUGUGUGUUCUGCCCUGCACUUCGGGAUAUGCCUGUGAAACUCUGUCUAUUACCGGAUAUUACCUUCCAUGUUGUGUGGGGUUUUGAAAGAUUUAUCGGUGUGGGAUUAGCCCGCGGCCUAUCAGCUUGUUGGUGGGGUAAUGGCCUACCAAGGCGUCGACGGGUAGCCGGCCUGAGAGGGUGGACGGCCACAUUGGGACUGAGAUACGGCCCAGACUCCUACGGGAGGCAGCAGUGGGGAAUAUUGCACAAUGGGCGGAAGCCUUAUGCAGAGACGCCGCGUGGGGGAUGACGGCCUUCGGGUUGUAAACCUCUUUCGACAGGGACGAAGAUUAGGUGACGGUACCUGUAGAAGAAGCACCGGCUAACUACGUG